ACAUGCGGACACACACGGGAGAGA
This 24-nucleotide non-coding RNA is filed under the name Cricetulus griseus (Chinese hamster). The record is from RNAcentral. Lineage: Eukaryota; Metazoa; Chordata; Mammalia; Rodentia; Cricetidae.